Molecule: unclassified non-coding RNA, 490 nt
Filed under: uncultured bacterium
Lineage: Bacteria
Description: partial contains 16S ribosomal RNA, 16S-23S ribosomal RNA intergenic spacer, and 23S ribosomal RNA
Rfam family: Bacterial large subunit ribosomal RNA (bases 360-490)
Source: RNAcentral
UGCGGCUGGAUCCCCUCCUUUCUAAGGAUAUAUUCGGAACAUCUUCUUCAGAAGAUGUGGAAUAACGUGACAUAUUGUAUUCAGUUUUGAAUGUUUAUUUAACAUUCAAAAAAAUGGGCCUAUAGCUCAGCUGGUUAGAGCGCACGCCUGAUAAGCGUGAGGUCGGUGGUUCGAGUCCACUUAGGCCCACCAUUAUUUGUACAUUGAAAACUAGGUAAGUAAGUAAAAUAUAGAUUUUACCAAGCAAAACCGAGUGAAUAAAGAGUUUUAAAUAAGCUUGAAUUCAUAAGAAAUAAUCGCUAGUGUUCGAAAGAACACUCACAAGAUUAAUAACGCGUUUCCUGUAGGAUGGAAACAUAGAUUAAGUUAUUAAGGGCGCACGGUGGAUGCCUUGGCACUAGAAGCCGAUGAAGGACGUUACUAACGACGAUAUGCUUUGGGGAGCUGUAAGUAAGCUUUGAUCCAGAGAUUUCCGAAUGGGGAAACCCGG